RNAcentral lists this ribosomal RNA (243 nucleotides) under uncultured Staphylococcus sp. RNAcentral's name for it is "partial 16S ribosomal RNA". It matches the Rfam family "Bacterial small subunit ribosomal RNA", at positions 97 to 334 of the family's 1533-position model. The record is from RNAcentral. Lineage: Bacteria; Bacillati; Bacillota; Bacilli; Caryophanales; Staphylococcaceae.
GGCGGACGGGUGAGUAACACGUGGAUAACCUACCUAUAAGACUGGGAUAACUUCGGGAAACCGGAGCUAAUACCGGAUAAUAUAUUGAGCCGCACGGUUCAAUAGUGAAAGACGGUUUUGCUGUCACUUAUAGAUGGAUCCGCGCCGCAUUAGCUAGUUGGUAAGGUAACGGCUUACCAAGGCAACGAUGCGUAGCCGACCUGAGAGGGUGAUCGGCCACACUGGAACUGAGACACGGUCCAG